GAUGAACGCUGGCGGCGUGCCUAAUACAUGCAAGUCGAGCGAACAGACGAGGAGCUUGCUCCUCUGACGUUAGCGGCGGACGGGUGAGUAACACGUGGAUAACCUACCUAUAAGACUGGGAUAACUUCGGGAAACCGGAGCUAAUACCGGAUAAUAUAUUGAACCGCAUGGUUCAAUAGUGAAAGACGGUUUUGCUGUCACUUAUAGAUGGAUCCGCGCCGCAUUAGCUAGUUGGUAAGGUAACGGCUUACCAAGGCAACGAUGCGUAGCCGACCUGAGAGGGUGAUCGGCCACACUGGAACUGAGACACGGUCCAGACUCCUACGGGAGGCAGCAGUAGGGACUCUUCCGCAAUGGGCGAAAGCUUGACGGAGCAACGCCGCGUGAGUGAUGAAGGUCUUCGGAUCGUAAAACUCUGUUAUUAGGGAAGAACAAAUGUGUAAGUACCUAUGCACGUCUUGACGGUACCUAAUCAGAAAGCCACGGCUAACUACGUG
This 497-nucleotide ribosomal RNA is filed under the name uncultured bacterium. RNAcentral's name for it is "partial 16S ribosomal RNA". It matches the Rfam family "Bacterial small subunit ribosomal RNA", at positions 28 to 507 of the family's 1533-position model. The record is from RNAcentral.